RNAcentral lists this ribosomal RNA (486 nucleotides) under uncultured bacterium. Its description in RNAcentral is "bacterial SSU rRNA". It matches the Rfam family "Bacterial small subunit ribosomal RNA", at positions 28 to 509 of the family's 1533-position model. The record is from RNAcentral.
GAUGAACGCUAGCGGCAGGCUUAACACAUGCAAGUCGAGGGGUAACAGGAUAGCUUGCUAUUGCUGACGACCGGCGCACGGGUGCGUAACGCGUAUGCAACCUACCUUUAACAAAGGGAUAGCCCAGAGAAAUUUGGAUUAAUACCUUAUAAUAUUUUCAAUUCGAUUGAAUUGAUUCUUAAAGAUUUAUCGGUUAAAGAUGGGCAUGCGUGACAUUAGCUAGAUGGUAAGGUAACGGCUUACCAUGGCGACGAUGUCUAGGGGUUCUGAGAGGAAGAUCCCCCACACUGGUACUGAGACACGGACCAGACUCCUACGGGAGGCAGCAGUGAGGAAUAUUGGUCAAUGGACGCAAGUCUGAACCAGCCAUGCCGCGUGAAGGAUGACUGCCCUAUGGGUUGUAAACUUCUUUUAUAGAGGAAGAAACCUCUCUACGUGUAGAGAGCUGACGGUACUCUACGAAUAAGGACCGGCUAACUCCGUGCC